GGUUAAGUGAAUAAGGGCGCACGGUGGAUGCCUUGGCACUAGGAGCCGAUGAAGGACGGGACUAACACCGAUAUGCUUUGGGGAGCUGUAAGUAAGCUAUGAUCCAGAGAUUUCCGAAUGGGGGAACCCAAUAUCUUUUAUAGGAUAUUACUUUUCAGUGAAUACAUAGCUGAUUAGAGGUAGACGCAGAGAACUGAAACAUCUUAGUACCUGCAGGAAGAGAAAGAAAAUUCGAUUCCCUGAGUAGCGGCGAGCGAAACGGGAAGAGCCCAAACCAACAAGCUUGCUUGUUGGGGUUGUAGGACUCCAAUAUGGUAGUCUGUUAGUAUAGUUGAAGGAUUUGGAAAAUUCCGCUAAAGAGGGUGAAAGCCCCGUAGACGAAAUGCUGACAACACCUAGGAGGAUCCUGAGUACGGCGGAACACGAGAAAUUCCGUCGGAAUCCGCGGGGACCAUCCCGCAAGGCUAAAUACUCCCUAGUGACCGAUAGUGAACCAGUACCGUGAGGGAAAGGUGAAAAGCACCCCGGAAGGGGAGUGAAAUAGAUCCUGAAACCGUGUGCCUACAACAAGUCAAAGCUCGUUAAUGAGUGAUGGCGUGCCUUUUGUAGAAUGAACCGGCGAGUUACGAUUGCAUGCGAGGUUAAGUCGAAGAGACGGAGCCGCAGCGAAAGCGAGUCUGAAUAGGGCGAAUGAGUAUGUAGUCGUAGACCCGAAACCAUGUGAUCUACCCAUGUCCAGGUUGAAGGUGCGGUAAAACGCACUGGAGGACCGAACCCACGUACGUUGAAAAGUGCGGGGAUGAGGUGUGGGUAGCGGAGAAAUUCCAAACGAACUUGGAGAUAGCUGGUUCUCUCCGAAAUAGCUUUAGGGCUAGCCUCGGAAUUGAGAAUGAUGGAGGUAGAGCACUGUUUGGACUAGGGGCCCAUCUCGGGUUACCGAAUUCAGAUAAACUCCGAAUGCCAUUCAUUUAUAUCCGGGAGUCAGACUGCGAGUGAUAAGAUCCGUAGUCGAAAGGGAAACAGCCCAGACCACCAGCUAAGGUCCCAAAAUAUAUGUUAAGUGGAAAAGGAUGUGGGGUUGCACAGACAACUAGGAUGUUGGCUUAGAAGCAGCCACCAUUUAAAGAGUGCGUAAUAGCUCACUAGUCGAGUGACCCUGCGCCGAAAAUGUACCGGGGCUAAACAUAUUACCGAAGCUGUGGACUACACCAUUAGGUGUAGUGGUAGGAGAGCGUUCUAAGGGCGUUGAAGGUCGAUCGUGAGGACGGCUGGAGCGCUUAGAAGUGAGAAUGCCGGUAUGAGUAGCGAAAGACAGGUGAGAAUCCUGUCCACCGUAUGACUAAGGUUUCCUGGGGAAGGCUCGUCCGCCCAGGGUUAGUCGGGACCUAAGCCGAGGCCGAUAGGCGUAGGCGAUGGACAACAGGUUGAUAUUCCUGUACCAGUUGUUUUUGUUUGAGCAAUGGAGGGACGCAGUAGGCUAAGGAAUGCAUGCGAUUGGAAGUGCAUGUCCAAGCAAUGAGUCUUGAGUAGAGUUAAAUGCUUUACUCUCUAAGGACAAGUUGUGACGGGGAGCGAAAUAAUAGUAGCGAAGUUCCUGAUGUCACACUGCCAAGAAAAGCUUCUAGUGAGAAAACAACUGCCCGUACCGUAAACCGACACAGGUAGUCGAGGAGAGUAUCCUAAGG
This 1685-nucleotide ribosomal RNA is filed under the name Enterococcus faecalis. Its description in RNAcentral is "partial 23S ribosomal RNA". It matches the Rfam family "Bacterial large subunit ribosomal RNA", at positions 1 to 1686 of the family's 2925-position model. Lineage: Bacteria; Bacillati; Bacillota; Bacilli; Lactobacillales; Enterococcaceae. The record is from RNAcentral.